GGGCGAUUAGCGCAGCGGGAGCGCAUCUGCCUUACAAGCAGAGGGCCGCAGGUUCGAACCCUGCAUCGCCCACCA
Molecule: transfer RNA, 75 nt
Filed under: Coriobacteriaceae bacterium
Lineage: Bacteria; Bacillati; Actinomycetota; Coriobacteriia; Coriobacteriales; Coriobacteriaceae
Also listed under: 3 other names
Description: tRNA-Val
Rfam family: tRNA
About the family: Transfer RNA (tRNA) molecules are approximately 80 nucleotides in length. Their secondary structure includes four short double-helical elements and three loops (D, anti-codon, and T loops). Further hydrogen bonds mediate the characteristic L-shaped molecular structure. tRNAs have two regions of fundamental functional importance: the anti-codon, which is responsible for specific mRNA codon recognition, and the 3' end, to which the tRNAs corresponding amino acid is attached (by aminoacyl-tRNA synthetases). tRNAs cope with the degeneracy of the genetic code in two manners: having more than one tRNA (with a specific anti-codon) for a particular amino acid; and 'wobble' base-pairing, i.e. permitting non-standard base-pairing at the 3rd anti-codon position.
Source: RNAcentral